Molecule: ribosomal RNA, 434 nt
Filed under: uncultured bacterium
Lineage: Bacteria
Description: partial 16S ribosomal RNA
Rfam family: Bacterial small subunit ribosomal RNA
Source: RNAcentral
ACGGGAGGCAGCAGUGGGGAAUAUUGGACAAUGGGGGGAACCCUGAUCCAGCGACGCCGCGUGAGUGAAGAAGUAUUUCGGUAUGUAAAGCUCUAUCAGCAGGGAAGAUGAUGACGGUACCUGACUAAGAAGCACCGGCUAAAUACGUGCCAGCAGCCGCGGUAAUACGUAUGGUGCAAGCGUUAUCCGGAUUUACUGGGUGUAAAGGGAGCGUAGACGGCAUGGCAAGCCAGAUGUGAAAGGUGGGGGCUCAACUCCCAAGCUGCAUUUGGAACUGUCAGGCUAGAGUAUCGGAGAGGUAAGUGGAAUUCCUAGUGUAGCGGUGAAAUGCGUAGAUAUUAGGAGGAACACCAGUGGCGAAGGCGGCUUGCUGGACGAUAACUGACGUUGAGGCUUGAAAGCGUGGGGAGCAAACAGGAUUAGAUACCCUGGUA